Molecule: unclassified non-coding RNA, 6749 nt
Filed under: Leishmania donovani
Lineage: Eukaryota; Euglenozoa; Kinetoplastea; Trypanosomatida; Trypanosomatidae
Description: gene:LdHU3.05.0720(CDS-product:Ankyrin_repeats_(m any_copies)/Ankyrin_repeats_(3_copies)/Ankyrin_repeat_putat ive)
Source: RNAcentral
CGCCUCACAUGCGUUUGCGUAGCGCGCCUCUUCUCCUCUGUGUGCACUGCCCUCCCUCCUCCCUCUCUCCUCCCGUGGUCGUCUCCGCAACCGCCUCAGAGUGCGCGGGCGAAAGACUUGGGAGAGCACAGCACGAGCCCCACCCGGUGGCUGCCAGCUAGACACGCGCACAGAAAAGGAAAGCACACGGCCGCAAGCUCGCCAACCCCACCCCACCCCACCACCUCCCCAACGCCAUGGCCUCGACGCUGCCACCGGAAAAGAAGCGGAAGGCCACCAAGGCGGCAGCGGGAACAGCGUCCCAACGGAAGGGCAACGCUGGUGGCGGCGGUGAGCACGUGCGCGAGGACCCCCACCACACAUGGAACCAGCAACUCAUGGAGGCCUGCCUCGCCUGCGAUGCGGCGGCGGUGCGGAAACUGAUCGAGCGCGGCGCCGACCCAGUCAACGCGCGCGAAGUGCCGCCCCUGAGCUACUACACGGGCCCCAUCAUUCAGCAGCUGCAGCUCCAGCAGCAAGCCUCAUCCGAGGCCCGGUCUCACUCAGAACCGCUCGUCAUUGAUCAGCUGCGUGGGGAUCAACCACCGCGGCAGCAGAGCCCGUUGAGCGGCUCGUCGCUGCCGCUGCCUGCUGCCGCGGCAGCGGUCCCCGACAGUCUCCCUCCGUUGGCGGCGAUGCUGCUCUCCGGCCUUAACACGCCAGCCGCGCUGGAGGUGAUGAAGGUGCUCAUUCAACACGGCGCGAGCGUCAACGAUACCUUCUCGUUUUCUGUAGCCCCCCUCACCGCUGCACGGCCUGGCACGGACGUGAGCGAAAACGAGAGCGGCGGCAGCACCGCCUACGGGGCGUCGGCGAACGACAGCGGUGGGCACCGCAAGAACACAUGCGUCUCCAGCCCGGAUCCGAAAGGCAAGCAGCCCAGUGGUAAGAGGAAGGCGUCGGUCAUCGGGACAGCCCUUACGGCGGCGGCCGGUGGGUCUGCGCUCGUCAGCGCCGCCGGCACACCGGGCGGUGCCGCUGUGAACCCGCCCGAGGCACCAAGGCACGAGGAGAGCACCAUCGUUGGCUCCGUCUUGCACUACGUUGUUGCCCACGGAGACCACGCUCAACUUCUACGCCUGCUGCUCCUCGCAGCCACCGCCGUCCACUCCGCCGCCGGCGCAGCGCCUGUUUCACCGUCGCUACCGCUGCCGCUGCAGCAACAGCUGGCGACGGGCGAGCCCCACGCUGAGGGUUCCACGGCGUUCUUGCCGCACCUCUUUCCUGUUCCGCUUCCCUGCACCCUCUUGCCUGCCGUCGAGGCGGAGACGAUCGUUGGUUUCAUGCGGUGGCAGCACCAGCAGCGUCUCGGUGGAACAGCAGACGCCGCCGGACCGAAUGGUUUGCCAUCACCGACCGCCACUCCGCGUGUGUCACAGUCGCGCAAGAGUCACAUUGUGAGCAACGCCGCUGCAACCGCCCGCACUUACGGCUCCGCGGCGGCAGCGCAGCCGGCCACAGCCGUCCUUCCGGCACAGGCAGCUGGGCCCGUGAGCGCCACCAGCCUCGUGUCGCCGUCUGCGGCGGAGGCUGUGCUGACCGCACUCCAGCAAGUCCUGCGGCAGCGCCAGACGAGCACCGGCGGCUACCACGGCUUGCCGAUCCUCAUGAGCGUGUACCCGCAGCAGCAGCAGAAAGAAGACAAAGCCGAGCUCGGCGGCGGGGCAGCCACGGGCAGCGCCGCGGCACCGGUCGUCGUUGCCGCUGCCGCUCCCUGCAACUGGUGGAGCCUGGCCGGCCUCUGCGACGCCGCUGAUGCAGUCGUCACCGACGGCCUGUACCAGCGCACGCGGCUCAACUUUAAUCUUCUCGACACGUGUGGCCGCUCCGCCGCCACGCUCGCGCUCGAGCGUGGCGACACGCUCUCCGUGCGGCUCCUUUCGUUCUACGGUGCGCAUGUGGCCUUUGAUGGGCAAGUGAACGCAUCGCACACCCGCCUAGCGCGCGCCUGCACCCACGGCGAUGUCGCCCGCGUCGAGGCGCUGCUCCGCCAAGGCGACUCGAUCACGCAGAUCUCGGCGGACGGCCGCUACACGCUUGUGCACUACGCCGCCGCGCAGCCAAGCGUCCUGCGGACGUUGGUGGAGCAUGGGUUGUCGCUGGAGUUCGAGAACGCCUUUGGGGAGUCGGCGCUGACGUCGCUGCUGCGGCACGGCACGGCACGGAACGACCCGCGGUACGUGCAGACCCUGCUGGCCAUCGCCGCCGCCGUGCGCAGUGCUUCGACGGAUGGGGCGACGAACACGGCCACGGCGAACCUCGUGAACAGCAUCGGCAGCACCAUCUCCGCCAACGCCGUGCGCUUCGCGCAGCUGUCGACGGCGGUGCAGCGCAACAUGAUUCUGUGCCCGCCGACGCCAAUCACGACGCUCAUGAACGCAGGCGGCGCAGCGUCGGGCUCGCCGGCAGCCCAUCUCCGUCUUAUAAGCAAUAACGUGAGCCACGGCACGGUAGCACAAGGGACGGCCAGCAAGAGCAACGGCGGCAACGCGUCGCGCCCCUCAGCGCGUCAGUCCUUCUUGGGGGGUUGCGAGGUCGGCACGUGGUGGUCAUUCCUGCCGCCGACAGCGACGACAGCCGACGUGCUGGACUCGCUGCUGCGUGCGGGCGCAGUAAUGCAGGGUUUUGUGCCGGACGAGGAGCUGGACUUGCCCUACGUGCUCUUCUCGGAGCGGCAAACGUCCAUCAGCGCGUGGGGCGGUGGCGCCCGCGGGUUCGCGUCGGCGGCCGACGAAGACGACGAGGCCGAAGAUGACGAUAUCAGCGACGGCGGCGUGGAGGAAAGCGGCAACGCUGACGGCGAGGACGACUACGGGUACGACGACGAUGACGGCAGCGUUGCCGACGCCGGCGGCUACAAGGCGAGCCGCACACCCCUCUCCGCCUCGGUGGCGACGAUCACGCCCGCCUCGGAGCAACGUGAUCGUGGCAGGAGGCGGCAGAAGCGGGGCGACGUGCUGCCGGCACGACUGCCGAUGCGUCUCACCCCCCUCCACCACGCCAUCUUCGACUACCACCCCGAGUUGAUUCGCCGCCUCCUGGUCGACUACCGCGUCGACCCCAUGCACCGCGAUUCGCAAGGCGCGACAGCGGUACACUAUGCCGCCCUCUGCACGCACGCGCAGUCGGUGCUGGAGCUGCUGCUCUCACCACAGGUUUUGGCGCCGAACGCCAUCGGCAACAGCAAGGGCCGCCUGAGCAGCAACCCCGGUCCUGACGUGAUCACCGGUGCCGCGUCGGCAGUCGCCGGCGCAUCGUCCGCUGCCGCAGGGCCUUCGGACGUCCGCAUCGAUCUCAACGCCAUCGAUAUGGCGGGCCGCACUCCGCUCUUCUACGCCGCCUACGUCGGCAACGCGACGGCGGUGCAGCGCCUAAUCCGCUUCGGGGGCGCGACGCUGCUGUGCGGUAAGGCAGACAAGGACGGAUACACACCGCUGCACGUAGCGGUUCAGCAGCGGCACGCCGACAUUGUGGAGCUGCUCAUCCGCCACUCGAACCAGUUGAUGAGCAGCGCCGCGGGAGUAGGGCGCGGGCAGCCGGUGGACGUCCUCGCGGAGCUGCUCGCUAGCACCAGCAGCGGGGGUGGUUCGGCAGGACGCUCCUCGCGCGGUGGAACGCGUCUCGGUGCGCACCGCCGCAGCAGUAGCGUCUUGGCACCGGGGAGCGGUCACCACGGUCAGGGCGGCUCCCACAGCGCGGGCGAGCCGUCGUUGGCGGGUCUCACCGGUAUCGCGAACCCGGAGCUGCUUGUUAACGUGGAAGCGGUAGAGAGCGUGACGCACAUGACCGCGCUAGAGAUGGCGAUCAAGGCGCAGCAGCAACCGCAGCAGUCGACCUCCUCCUCGGCAUCUCUUUCGGAGGCGCAGGAGCUGCAGAAGGAACGGCUCCUGCGCAUUGUCUCGGUGCUGCUCUCCGAGGCGCAGGCCAGCCCGCUCCGGCCGAGCGGGCUGGCCAACGGCGGUGCGCUGCUGCACCGCGCCGUCGCCGAUGGCAACGUGGAGAUGGCGGAGCUGCUCUUGUCGCAGUACACGGAUCCGAACGAGGUCGACGACGUGAAUGAGACGCCCCUCUUUCUCGCGCUCCGGCUCGCCGCGCCUGCGUCUGCGCUGCAGGCGAGCUCAGCAGAGCAGAAGCAGCAGCACCGCCUCCGUCGCACCUCGCUUGUUCGGGUUCUCCUGCAGUAUGGCGCCACGCCCUACGCGCAGAGUAGCGUUCACCUGCAGACACCCUUGCAUCUCGCGGCGAGCAGCCUGGCCGACGACGAUGAGAUUGUUCAGCUCCUCUUCUACUCGACUCCCGACGCCGGCGGCGGCUACGGUGCAGUUCGCCGGCGGCGGCAGGAGCAGCAGAGGCACCAACAAGCACCGUCCUACGCCGCGGACGUGAUGGACGGAGACGCACCAAGAGACAACUAUCCCCUUGGCGGCAGCAUGGGAGGUGGCAGUAGUGCCAGGGGGCGCCACAGCAGCAGCAGCGGCGGUUCCACAGCAGGACGCAAGAACUUUGAGCGUCGCGUACGCGAGCGACGCGCACAGCAGCAGCAGCAGCAGCAGCAACGCCGCUCCUCGCCAUCCCCUUCAUCGACAGGCCGAUCCAUAAGCACAUUCCCGGGUCCUCGCCGCAAGCCGUGGAGAGCUGCCGCCGCCUUGUCCGAGAGUGAUCGCGGCUCCAGCGCCGCUGACUUUGAUGGCCCCACCGACGAUCAAUCCUUGCUGGCGAACAGCAGUUUUGGCUAUCAUGAAGCCCUCAACCGCAGCGUUGCCAGUGUAGAGCAGGCGGGGGCAGAUCAGAGCCUGUCGCGCACGGGGGAAGAGCUCGUGCCUGACAGUCGCGCCGGCGGCGACGCCGAGGAGGACGUGCUGCAGGACGAACAUCAACAGUUCCUGAAGCGACUGGCGCAGUGGCAGUGCGCGGACCACUUGCUGGAGCCGGAGAAGUGCUGGAUGCUGACGGAUGCGCAGGGGCAGACGCCACUGCACGUUCUCUGCAGUCGCUCCUCACCUGCCCUUCAGCGUAUGCCGGCUGUGCUGAAGCUUCUCGAAGACCUGCAAGCCGUGACACGCACCAACUCAGCUAUCGCUGCUGUGGCGGCCGGUGUCUUCGACGGCACGCGUGACGACGAUCAUGUUCUCUCGUUGUGCUGGCACCUCUCCGACGCGCAUGGCCGCACGCCGUUGCACGCGGCGGCGCAGAGCGGCUUCGUAGAGGCGAUGGAGUACAUUCUAAAGCAGGCGCCGAAAAGUGCUCUUGCCGUGGACAUGCAGGGCCGCACGCCGCUGCAUGCGUGUGUGUUGAUGGCCGCCUCGCCAACCGCCGCCACAGCCGUCCCUACACACGCACAGGGCGACGACGAGGAGGAGGUGGUGGUGGUGGCGGCGGAGCGGGCGACGCGGCUGCGACGCAUGCUGUCGCUGCUGCGUAGUGCGGUCGCCGCCGCCGACAGCAGCGGGGCGGCCGGGACGGCAAAGCCCUCGUUGCCGCUGCAGCUGCAGGGGACACCAUUGCGUCGCGCCGCUGGUGACGUCCUGCCGUCACUCUCGAUGAAGACGAUCAAGACAAUGAGCAACGCCAUCGGGAGCGCCGCGGCGCCGCACUCCUCCGCUCAGCGCUUGGUUGCUUCUCUCGUGCAGGGGUCUUCCAUAACGGCUCAGCUGCAGCGUUGGCAGCAGUCACGCCAUUGGGGAUGUCCUGCCCUCGCCAUGAAGGGCAUCGGCAGAACCAGCGCCCACAUGCGUACAGCGUGUGGGGACGGCUUGGCAGCAGCAGCAGUACCGGCUUCGCGCGACUUGCAGCCGAGCGACGGCGUCUUAACCUCUUCAGGCGCCGCGAGUGAGUGGAAGACUUACGUGCAGCUGCCAGAUGGACAAGGACGGACAGCGCUGCUGCUGGCGGCGGAGGUCGGCAACGUCGGCGCUGCUCGAGAGCUCCUGAGGACCAUGUAGACAAGCACGGAGGUAGCAGGCUGGCGGAAGAAUGAGAACGGCGUGAGUGCACGAGUGGGAGGGGGAGGGGGAGGGGGCUGACCCUGGUCCUCGUCGCGUGGCUGUCCCUGUGCGCCCCGCCCCCGCCAUGACCACGGCCCCCACCCCCUUUUCUGUGGAGAGACAGACGUCUGCGUCGCGCCCUCCUCCUCUUCCCUCUGUGUGCUGGUAGGUUUGUUUCUAUUUCGCGCUUCGUUGCCGUUGUCGCGGUCCGUGGCGUGCGAUGUACAUGAAGCUGGCUCGCCCACCCACACGCACACACACCUCACACUCGGGCAAGUCAACUUCGCGCGCUCUCCCUUUCCUUGCGCACCUGUGGCAUCAUCUUAUCUUCCCCAGUGAUGAGCGCGUGCGUCUGGGCCACAAGCGAGCACACACAGGUUUACGUGCGUCUGUGAGAAGACGUCUCUCGGAACCGUGUGUGGCCCUUCCCCUCCUUUCCCUCCCGCCUUUCCUUCAGAGCACGACCUUCAUAUCUCCUACAGAUGUAAAUGCCCGUGUUACGGUCCUUCGAAGUCCACCUUGGCUCAUCAACAUAUCAUCUCGCAUCGCUCGGUGCACUCCGCCUGUGGCGGCGGUGGUUGCUCUGCUGCGUCCGUGAUGGGCAUGAGUGCUCACCGGGGCCCCUCUUCUGAUUCUCAGCCUUUUCCCGACCACGGCAUUCGCAUCGCCCGCUGUCGGCGGCGGCGCUGCUCGCCCUUCCUCCCCCGUAGAUCCCGCUCUCCCUCC